This 88-nucleotide transfer RNA is filed under the name Anemia phyllitidis. Its description in RNAcentral is "tRNA-Ser". It matches the Rfam family "tRNA". From Rfam's summary of the family: Transfer RNA (tRNA) molecules are approximately 80 nucleotides in length. Their secondary structure includes four short double-helical elements and three loops (D, anti-codon, and T loops). The record is from RNAcentral. Lineage: Eukaryota; Viridiplantae; Streptophyta; Polypodiopsida; Schizaeales; Anemiaceae.
GGAGAGAUGGCUGAGAGGUUUAAGGCGGCGGAUUGCUAAUCCGUUGUACAAUAAAUAUGUACCGAGGGUUCGAAUCCCUCUCUUUCCC